Molecule: long non-coding RNA, 377 nt
Filed under: Brassica rapa (field mustard)
Lineage: Eukaryota; Viridiplantae; Streptophyta; Magnoliopsida; Brassicales; Brassicaceae
Description: long non-coding RNA (BRAP_LNC008646)
Source: RNAcentral
AGCUCUCAUCUCAGCUCAAAUCAAACCCUUGAAGACAUUACCAGCCUAGUUCAGUUCUUGAAGAAGAAAGAAGCUUGAAGCGUGGAGUGUUCUCCUUAUCUCUCAACCGUGCCUGUCUUUACCUGAUGGAGAGUCUCAUUGGAAGCAAAGGAGGAUGGAGAGGCGUCAUGAACCUCAAGCCAAAGCUCCUUGUCCAAGAGCUUAUCACAUCCGGAUACAAGAAAGAUGAAGCUAAGAGAAGCCGGUUUGAAGUAUGAAGAAAGGAGGGGUCUUUGGGUGUGAGAAACAAGAAGGAGGCCGUGGACUGAAGGAGAAGGAGGUGGGUGACGAUCCAGACUCUUGAAUCCAACCAUAUCAUGGCCAGAUUGCCUUUGGAG